GACGAACGCUGGCGGCGUGCCUAACACAUGCAAGUCGAGCGGAGCCAACCGAUAGAUCCCUUCGGGGUGACAUCGGGGAAGCUUAGCGGCGGACGGGUGAGUAACGCGUGAGUAACCUGCCCAUAAGAGGGGAAUAACACAGCGAAAGUUGUGCUAAUACCGCAUAAUAUGUUUUUACCGCAUGAUAGAAACAUCAAAGAUUUAUCGCUUAUGGAUGGACUCGCGUCUGAUUAGAUAGUUGGUGGGGUAACGGCUCACCAAGUCGACGAUCAGUAGCCGAACUGAGAGGUUGAACGGCCACAUUGGAACUGAGAUACGGUCCAG
RNAcentral lists this ribosomal RNA (324 nucleotides) under uncultured bacterium. RNAcentral's name for it is "bacterial SSU rRNA". It matches the Rfam family "Bacterial small subunit ribosomal RNA", at positions 28 to 334 of the family's 1533-position model. The record is from RNAcentral.